This 76-nucleotide transfer RNA is filed under the name Opisthopatus cinctipes. RNAcentral describes it as "tRNA-Lys". The record is from RNAcentral. Lineage: Eukaryota; Metazoa; Onychophora; Udeonychophora; Euonychophora; Peripatopsidae.
GAAUUUGACUGAUUUAAGUAAUAAUUUUUUAAAUUAUAAGAAUGUAAUUAAAUAUAAUAUGAAUUUGUCAAAUUCA